RNAcentral lists this ribosomal RNA (353 nucleotides) under uncultured Navicula. RNAcentral's name for it is "bacterial SSU rRNA". It matches the Rfam family "Bacterial small subunit ribosomal RNA", at positions 440 to 807 of the family's 1533-position model. The record is from RNAcentral. Lineage: Eukaryota; Bacillariophyta; Bacillariophyceae; Naviculales; Naviculaceae.
CAGGGAGGAAUCAAUGACGUGUACCUGAAGAAUAAGCAUCGGCUAACUCCGUGCCAGCAGCCGCGGUAAGACGGGGGAUGCAAGUGUUAUCCGGAAUCACUGGGCGUAAAGCGUCUGUAGGUGGUCCAAUAAGUCAACUGUUAAAUCUUGAGGCUCAACCUCAAAAUCGCAGUCGAAACUAUUAGACUAGAGUAUAGUAGGGGUAAAGGGAAUUUCCAGUGGAGCGGUGAAAUGCGUAGAGAUUGGAAAGAACACCGAUGGCGAAGGCACUUUACUGGGCUAUUACUAACACUCAGAGACGAAAGCUAGGGUAGCAAAUGGGAUUAGAUACCCCAGUAGUCCUAGCCGUAAAC